ACGGCUCAGUAACACGUGGAUAACCUGCCCUUGGGUCCGGCAUAACCCCGGGAAACUGGGGAUAAUUCCGGAUAACGCAUAUAUGCUGGAAUGCUUUAUGCGUAAAAUGGAUUCGUCUGCCCAAGGAUGGGUCUGCGGCCUAUCAGGUAGUAGUGGGUGUAAUGUACCUACUAGCCGACAACGGGUACGGGUUGUGAGAGCAAGAGCCCGGAGAUGGAUUCUGAGACAUGAAUCCAGGCCCUACGGGGCGCAGCAGGCGCGAAAACUUUACAAUGCGGGAAACCGUGAUAAGGGGACACCGAGUGCCAGCAUCAUAUGCUGGCUGUCCAGGUGUGUAAACUACACCUGUUAGCAAGGGCCGGGCAAGACCGGUGCCAGCCGCCGCGGUAACACCGGCGGCCCGAGUGGUGAUCGUGAUUAUUGGGUCUAAAGGGUCCGUAGCCGGUUUGGUCAGUCCUCCGGGAAAUCUGACGGCUCAACCGUUAGGCUUUCGGGGGAUACUGCCAGGCUUGGAACUGGGAGAGGUAAGAGGUACUACAGGGGUAGGAGUGAAAUCUUGUAAUCCCUGUGGGACCACCUGUGGCGAAGGCGUCUUACCAGAACGGGUUCGACGGUGAGGGACGAAAGCUGGGGGCACGAACCGGAUUAGAUACCCGGGUAGUCCCAGCCGUAAACGAUGCUCGCUAGGUGUCAGGCAUGGCGCGACCGUGUCUGGUGCCGCAGGGAAGCCGUGAAGCGAGCCACCUGGGAAGUACGGCCGCAAGGCUGAAACUUAAAGGAAUUGGCGGGGGAGCAC
RNAcentral lists this ribosomal RNA (796 nucleotides) under uncultured archaeon. Its description in RNAcentral is "bacterial SSU rRNA". It matches the Rfam family "Archaeal small subunit ribosomal RNA", at positions 85 to 879 of the family's 1478-position model. The record is from RNAcentral.